This 244-nucleotide ribosomal RNA is filed under the name Glomus sp. (unid). The record is from RNAcentral. Lineage: Eukaryota; Fungi; Glomeromycota; Glomeromycetes; Glomerales; Glomeraceae.
CAGUCGUACCUGCGGACAAUCAGCCUUUUGGGUGUGAUUAUGUGGAGCGUGGGGAGCUAAUCGCCUUCAUCUUUGCAUAUUCGUGCACUUUGGGUGUACUUAUUCGUGUGGUAAGUUAACAUCAAUUUUGGUGAUCAUAAAAUGACUGGAGGAAUGUAGCUUCGAUCUCGUAUUGAAGUUGUUAUAGUCCUUUGGAGAUGUGAUGAUCAGGGUAUUGGAGGUAUUGCAGGCGGACUACCCGUUC